GUCCCUGUAGCUUAAACACCAAAGCAUGACACUGAAGAUGUUAAGAUGGUACUUACAAUACCUGGGGACA
Molecule: transfer RNA, 70 nt
Filed under: Mullerornis agilis
Lineage: Eukaryota; Metazoa; Chordata; Aves; Struthioniformes; Aepyornithidae
Description: tRNA-Phe
Rfam family: tRNA
About the family: Transfer RNA (tRNA) molecules are approximately 80 nucleotides in length. Their secondary structure includes four short double-helical elements and three loops (D, anti-codon, and T loops). Further hydrogen bonds mediate the characteristic L-shaped molecular structure. tRNAs have two regions of fundamental functional importance: the anti-codon, which is responsible for specific mRNA codon recognition, and the 3' end, to which the tRNAs corresponding amino acid is attached (by aminoacyl-tRNA synthetases). tRNAs cope with the degeneracy of the genetic code in two manners: having more than one tRNA (with a specific anti-codon) for a particular amino acid; and 'wobble' base-pairing, i.e. permitting non-standard base-pairing at the 3rd anti-codon position.
Source: RNAcentral